AUGUUCACCGAGUUCAUCCUGAACGUGCCCACCGGCCUGCUGACCAUCCAGAAGCUCUACUGCCUGAUCGAGAUCGUGCACAGCGACCUCUUCACCCAGCACGGUGAGCCGAGCCCCCCCCGACGCUGCCCCGGGCCGGCUGGGCCUGCGGGCCGGGUUGGACCUCCCGUGAGGAGGGGCCUGGCGCAAGGGCUCUUCCCAUGGCCAGCCGCUGUCAGGCUGGCUUCCGUGUUCGGGGCUUUUUGUUCUGCUCCUGUAAGGCACCCGUGGCCCUGGGGGCUGGCCCGGCCUGGGGGCCCAAGGAAGGCCUGGCCCAGGAGGAUAGGCUUUGUCUGCUCUUCGGUCUUCAUUCUCUCUCUGUCUCUCCGUCUCUGUCUGUGUCUGUGUGUCUGUGUCUCUCCGUCUCUGUCUCUGUCUCGGUCAAGUCUCUGUCUCUGUCUCUCUGUCUCCGUCUCUGUCUCUGUCUCUGUCUCUGUCUCUGUCUCUCUAUCUCAGUCUCUGUCUCUCUGUCUCCGUCUCUGUCUCUGUCUCUGUCUCUAUCUCUCUGUCUCCGUCUCAGUCUCUGUCUCUGUCUCCGUCUCUGUGUCUCUCUGUCUCUGUCUCUGUCUCUGUCUCUCAGUCUCCGUCUCCGUCUCUGUCUCUCUGUCUCUGUCUCUGUCUCCCCGUCUCCGUCUCUGUCUCUUUCUCUGUCUCUGUCUCUCAGUCUCCGUCUCCGUCUCUGUCUCCGUCUCCGUCUCUGUCUCUGUGUCUCGGUCUCUGUCUCAGUCUCUGUCUCCCCGUCUCCGUCUCUGUCUCUUUCUCUGUCUCUCCGUCUCCGUCUCCGUCUCCGUCUCCGUCUCUGUCUCCGUCUCUGUGUCUCUCCGUCUCCGUCUCCGUCUCUGUCUCUCCGUCUCCGUCUCUGUCUCCCCGUCUCCGUCUCUGUCUCUUUCUCUGUCUCUGUCUCUCCGUCUCCGUCUCCGUCUCUGUCUCUCCGUCUCCGUCUCUGUCUCCCCGUCUCCGUCUCUGUCUCUUUCUCUGUCUCUGUCUCUCCGUCUCCGUCUCCGUCUCCGUCUCCGUCUCUGUCUCUGUGUCUCUGCCUUUUUCUCUCACCCCUUUUUGUGCUCCUUCUUCACAAUUCCGUGGAGGACAAAGCCGAGAAACCGAGGCACGUCCGUUCUCGCUGACUGCAAUCAGAACAUUUGGCCCAGAAGUAUUCAUUAG
Molecule: long non-coding RNA, 1200 nt
Filed under: Monodelphis domestica (gray short-tailed opossum)
Lineage: Eukaryota; Metazoa; Chordata; Mammalia; Didelphimorphia; Didelphidae
Description: lncRNA (ENSMODG00000037666.1)
Source: RNAcentral